GGCAAUAACUCCUAAAGGGGUCAACUGACCAUUUCGGUAGUAUAGACUUAUUUGUAAAUCUUAUUUUGCUGAACAUUAUUGUUGUUUACAGUUUAUCUCUAUCUAUAAUAUUAUUCAAGAUAAUAACCAAAAACAGCAAAAUUUCCUUAAAAUUACCAAUUCAGGGGCAGCAACCCAACAAUGGGUUGACCGAUUCAUCUGAAAUUUUCAAGGCAGAUAGAUCUUGACCUGACAAACAAUUUAACCCCCAUGUCAGAUUUGCUUUAAAUGCUUUGGUUUCUGAGUUAUAAGCCAAAAACUGCAUUUUACCCCUAUGUUCUAUUUUUAGCCAUGGCGGCCAUCUUGGUUGGUUGACCGGGUCACCGGACACAAUUUUUAAACUAGAUACCCCAAUGAUGAUUGUGGCCAAGUUUGGUUUAAUUUGGCCCAGUAGUUUCAGAGGAGAAGAUUUUUGUAAAAGUAAACGACGGACGACGGACG
Molecule: long non-coding RNA, 480 nt
Filed under: Mytilus galloprovincialis (Mediterranean mussel)
Lineage: Eukaryota; Metazoa; Mollusca; Bivalvia; Mytilida; Mytilidae
Source: RNAcentral